Molecule: ribosomal RNA, 445 nt
Filed under: uncultured bacterium
Lineage: Bacteria
Description: bacterial SSU rRNA
Rfam family: Bacterial small subunit ribosomal RNA
Source: RNAcentral
GUGAGGAAUAUUGGUCAAUGGGCGGGAGCCUGAACCAGCCAAGUCGCGUGAAGGAAGAAGGAUCUAUGGUUCGUAAACUUCUUUUGCAGGGGAAUAAAGUGCAGGACGUGUCCUGUUUUGUAUGUACCCUGAGAAUAAGGAUCGGCUAACUCCGUGCCAGCAGCCGCGGUAAUACGGAGGAUCCGAGCGUUAUCCGGAUUUAUUGGGUUUAAAGGGUGCGUAGGUGGUUUGAUAAGUCAGCGGUGAAAGUUUGCAGCUUAACUGUAAAAAUGCCGUUGAAACUGUCGGACUUGAGUGUAAAUGAGGUAGGCGGAAUGCGUGGUGUAGCGGUGAAAUGCAUAGAUAUCACGCAGAACUCCGAUUGCGGAGGCAGCUUACUAAGCUACAACUGACACUGAAGCACGAAAGCGUGGGGAUCAAACAGGAUUAGAAACCCUUGUAGUCC